Molecule: long non-coding RNA, 303 nt
Organism: Astyanax mexicanus (Mexican tetra)
Lineage: Eukaryota; Metazoa; Chordata; Actinopteri; Characiformes; Acestrorhamphidae
Exons: 3
Source: RefSeq, a predicted model, not a curated record
CUCCUGCUCUUCCCUGAAAGUGCAACCUGAGGAAAAACAGAGGAGAGGGCUAUUUUCCCCACCAGCUGAGCAUUCAGAACAUGGUCACACUGCAAUCUCCUCACAGAUUUGUACCAGGGCAUCACUGAGCUCCUGGACAGUGUGAAUUGCAACCUGAAAGUGUUGGAUCUUCUCCAGACUGUGCUGGGAGACACAGCCACCCUUCUGGCAAUGGAAAUUAGUAGGACGCCCACCAAGAUGCACCGCUAUUUUCAACUACAGGUGAAGAGCAGGCAUCAAGUGGUUUCCAGCAGAGUUCAGAAG